RNAcentral lists this ribosomal RNA (371 nucleotides) under Glomus sp. rp57. RNAcentral describes it as "eukaryotic LSU rRNA". The record is from RNAcentral. Lineage: Eukaryota; Fungi; Glomeromycota; Glomeromycetes; Glomerales; Glomeraceae.
UUGAAAGGGAAACGAUUGAAGUCAGUCGUACCGACGAGAAAUCAACUUAUCGUGUGCGAACUUGUGGGCGUGCGUGAGUUUCGGCCUCGCUGUUUGCAUGUUUGUGCGUUUUGGGUGUACUUUUUCGUAUGAUAGGCCAACAUCAGUUUCGAUUACUAUAAAAUGACCGGCGGAAUGUAGCUUCGAUUUCGGUCGAAGUGUUAUAGCCUCUGGUAGAUGUGGUGAUUGGGACUGAGGAUUGCAACGAAUAUCCUUUGGGCUAUCCGUCUGAUCUCUGAAAGUUGCUUAGGUGCCGAAAGCGUGCUUACGGUCAUCUAAGUUGACGGUCAACAGGUUAGAACGUGAUUAUAUUCGUUAAGGAUGUUGACGUA